AAAAUGCGAUACUUGGUGUGAAUUGCAGAAUCCCGUGAACCAUCGAGUUUUUGAACGCAAGUUGCGCCCGAAGCCAUCCGGCUGAGGGCACGCCUGCCUGGGCGUCAUGCAUCGCGUCGCUCCCCACCAUACCUCCCCAACGGGUUGGCAUGGUGUUGGGGGCGGAUAAUGGCCUCCCGUGCUUGUGUUUCGGUUGGCCUAAAUAAGAGUUCCCUUCGGCGGACACACGACUAGUGGUGGUUGAAUAGACCCUCGUCUUUUGUUGCGUGUCGUGAGCUGUAAGGGUAGCCCUCAUCAAAGACCCCAUUGUAUCGUCUUCGGAUGAUGCUUCGACCGCGACCCCAGGUCAGGCGGGACUACCCGCUGAGUUUAAGC
Molecule: unclassified non-coding RNA, 375 nt
Filed under: plant metagenome
Description: partial contains 5.8S ribosomal RNA, internal transcribed spacer 2, and large subunit ribosomal RNA
Rfam family: 5.8S ribosomal RNA (bases 1-107)
Source: RNAcentral